CCUACGGGAGGCAGCAGUGGGGAAUCUUGCGCAAUGGGCGAAAGCCUGACGCAGCAACGCCGCGUGCGGGAUGACGGCCUUCGUGGUUGUAAACCGCUUUCAGCAGGGACGAAAAUGACGGUACCUGCAGAAGAAGCCCCGGCUAACUACGUGCCAGCAGCCGCGGUAAUACGUAGGGGGCAAGCGUUGUCCGGAAUCAUUGGGCGUAAAGAGCUCGUAGGCGGUUCAGUAAGUCGGGUGUGAAAGCUCCGAGCUCAACUCGGAGAGGCCACUCGAUACUGCUGUGACUAGAAUCCAGUAGGGGAGUGUGGAACUCCUGGUGUAGCGGUGAAAUGCGCAGAUAUCAGGAAGAACACCAGCGGCGAAGGCGGCACUCUGGGCUGGUAUUGACGCUGAGGAGCGAAAGUGUGGGUAGCAAACAGGAUUAGAUACCCCUGUAGUC
This 442-nucleotide ribosomal RNA is filed under the name uncultured Actinomycetes bacterium. RNAcentral's name for it is "bacterial SSU rRNA". It matches the Rfam family "Bacterial small subunit ribosomal RNA", at positions 338 to 795 of the family's 1533-position model. Lineage: Bacteria; Bacillati; Actinomycetota; Actinomycetes. The record is from RNAcentral.